This 507-nucleotide long non-coding RNA is filed under the name Physcomitrium patens. Its description in RNAcentral is "long non-coding RNA (PPAT_LNC007783)". Lineage: Eukaryota; Viridiplantae; Streptophyta; Bryopsida; Funariales; Funariaceae. The record is from RNAcentral.
GAAAUUUUAAACAAAAAAUAAGAAUUCUUAAAGAAACAUUAGAAAGAACACAAAUAUCACUCAAAUAUAUCUCAAUUUAAUCUUAAUUUAAUUCUAGUUAAAAUCUUAUUGAACUUCAUUCAAACUUUAGGCCAAAACUAAUUGAAUCUUAAAUCCUAAUAAAAUCCUAAACCCUAAAUCAAAUCCUAAAAAAACCUUAAACCAAAUUCCAAUCAAAUCCUAAAUCAAAUCCUAAUCAAAUCCUAAACCAAAUCAUAAAUCCUAAAUCAAACCAUAACCAAAUCUUAAUCCAAAUCCUAAAUCUUAAAUAAAAUCUUAACCAAAUCUUAAAACCUAAAUCAAAUCCUAACCAAAUCGUUAACCCUAAAUCAAACCCUAAGCAAAUCCUAAACCAAAUCCUAAUCCAAAUCUUAAAUUCUAAACCAAAUCCUAACCAAACCCUAAAUCCUAAAUCAAAUCCUAAAUCCUUAAUCAAAUCCUAACCAAAUCCUAAACCAAAUCCUAAUC